Xiphophorus couchianus (Monterrey platyfish) is the source of this 688-nucleotide long non-coding RNA. RefSeq lists it as uncharacterized. The record is from RefSeq and is a predicted model, not a curated record. The transcript has 2 exons. NCBI's taxonomy places the organism in Eukaryota, Metazoa, Chordata, Actinopteri, Cyprinodontiformes, Poeciliidae.
ACUGCGGCUUCAGUGUUCGAUCUGAUUAAAUUGAUUCUGCAAUUCACCCCUCGCAGGACGUCCCAUUCCUGCCAUUCUGUUUCACUUCCUGUUUAUGUUUUGUAUUUUUAUUUUUAUCUUGAGAAGAAACAGACAGCAGAAUAGGGGUUGUGGAAACCGGUUGCCAUAGAGAUUGGAGACGUACACACUGAGGCUAGCUGUCAGCUAGCUGAGAAGACCUCUUUGUUCGAAGGAGAGACGAGUGGGCAGCGGAGAAGUUGUCAGGAGAACAAACUUGCAAACAUCACGAUUCUGCUUCGUUUCAAACUCAAAUGUGAACUGGGUGUGGCCUGGAGUUAGCCCCUGACCAGGAGGACCUGUGCCAGUGUUCCCAGUUUGUUUAAGCCUGGCUGCGCCUCACACCAGGUGCUGGUCAUGUUUCCCCCAGAAGAAGCAGUCCCGAUAUUUUUGUUGAGUUUGUUGUUUUGGUUAAGUGUAAUUGGUUUUGAUUUUCUUGAACUAGGUCUUCUGUUUAUCAGUAUCUUGGUUCUUAUUUGGUUUGUUUUGAGUUGCAUUCUUCUCAUUUUUUAAAUCAGCCUAGUGUUUUUUGUCUUUAAAACCUAUGUUACUCUUAGCAAUCAGCUUGUCUGUUGGACUGAACCAGGUGGGCCAGCCUUCGCUCAUCAAAUGCGUCAUUACUCCUUUGGUU